ACUGCGGAGGAUCAUUACAGAGUUCAUGCCCUAAUGGGUAGACCUCCCACCCUUGUGUAUUUAUACUAUGUUGCUUUGGUGGGUUGCGCCUGCGGGUGCUUUAGGGCUUGCUCGCCCGCCGAAGAAUAUUUAAACUCUGUUUAUUAGUGUUGUCUGAGUACUAUAUAAUAGUUAAAACUUUCAACAACGGAUCUCUUGGUUCUGGCAUCGAUGAAGAACGCAGCGAAAUGCGAUAAGUAAUGUGAAUUGCAGAAUUCAGUGAAUCAUCGAAUCUUUGAACGCACAUUGCGCCCCUUGGUAUUCCGGGGGGCAUGCCUGUUCGAGCGUCAUUUCAACCCUCAAGCUCUGCUUGGUAUUGGGCUUUGCCAAUAAAAUGGCGGGCCUUAAAAUCAGUGUGCGGUGCCGUUGGGUCCUGAGCGUAGUAAUUUCUUUCUCGCUACAGGUUCCCCGCGUGCCUCUGCCAUUAAACACCCAAUUUUCUAUGGUUGACCUCGGAUCAGGUAGGGAUACCCGCUGAACUUAAGCAUAUCAAUAAGCGGAGGACCUGUGUGAAAUUG
RNAcentral lists this ribosomal RNA (557 nucleotides) under uncultured fungus. Its description in RNAcentral is "eukaryotic LSU rRNA". The stretch from base 176 to 329 matches the Rfam family "5.8S ribosomal RNA". Lineage: Eukaryota; Fungi. The record is from RNAcentral.